This 27-nucleotide non-coding RNA is filed under the name Rattus norvegicus (Norway rat). Lineage: Eukaryota; Metazoa; Chordata; Mammalia; Rodentia; Muridae. The record is from RNAcentral.
UAAAAGACCUUCCCCAGACCCCUUCCA